Helianthus annuus (common sunflower) is the source of this 8041-nucleotide long non-coding RNA. RefSeq lists it as uncharacterized. Lineage: Eukaryota; Viridiplantae; Streptophyta; Magnoliopsida; Asterales; Asteraceae. The transcript has 7 exons. The record is from RefSeq and is a predicted model, not a curated record.
CAACCGGUAAUUAACAGCUUCUAAUUACGUGGUUAAGAAACGAUUAAGACGAUAACUGAUAGUGUUUAAGGCACGAGUUAACCCAAUUAGGCUUUUGUAAAUGCCUAGGAACGCCUAAUCGACUUUAUAGUACGCGGAUGAUAAACUGCGGAGAAACAGCGUAACGAUAAUCGAUAACGAAUAGAAACCGUGCGAAAUAUUGACAACGCCGACAAAUACAAAUUUUAUAUGCGUAUUUUAUACUCAUAAGUUUAGUUUUGUGAAUUUAUUGUGCUUUCGUACGUCACAAAGCGCGAACGCGAACAAAAAACGCGACUGCAGGAACGCACCGGCAACGAAACAGAAGCAUCAAACAUGCGUAUUACUUCCAAAACUGAAAUUUUAUGAUAUAACUAGCUUCGUAAUUAAAUUUUAAUAUCCGUAGUAGAAACCAUAUCAAAAAACGGAUUAAAAUGGCAAUGGCGCGAUUUCAUGCGAUUUUUACAGUAAUCAGUGAACGAACACGACAAACGGCUACCGGUACUACUUUACGUAUUUUUUUUAAAACUAAAAUUUAUAAAUUACGAAGUUUCGCGGAGCUUGGGUUUUGAUAACGGUCUCGUAGGAAUUACGGGCCACUUAAACACGGGGAUUGGGCUUGUGGGCCUUGGGCCCAAGCCCAAAGCCCAUUAAACUAACCCUAGUAUAUAUUUGUAGCUACAACCUUAUCCUUCAUUUGAAACCACAAAACUAAAUCACGCACACAAUCUGCUCUCUUUCAUCUUCAAGUUGAAGAAACCCUAAUCCUCUAAUUCCCUUUCUCUUGAUUAUGCCUACAAUUGCACACAGACAAAUUAUGUCUGAUCUAUCAUCUACACCUAAAUAAAAACCUCAUCACCAUCAUCCUUACAAAACCUUCUUUUUCUUUGCCACUUUCUCUCGAAUUACAUACAGACAAACACACACAUACUCUACUAAAACUCCCUUCACCAUCUUUAAAAAAAAAAAGAUAUUAACUCCACUCUCACAUACCCUCUCUCUCUCGUGAUGCUCCUGGUCGACGAUGAUCGGAGCUUGUUAACCGCCGGCUGUCGGCGGUGUUACCAGCCGACAACACCCUCCCUCCCUCCUGUUGAUUUUCUCCGGCGAACACUCAGGUCACUCCGGUGACUAACCCACUUGUUCCGGCUCCCCACUCGAAGCAGAAACAACUGCCACCACCCUCGUUGGUGGCACACGGCGACGGUACACGAAGAGAUAGAGAGAAAGGGGCAAGCGGUGGAGGUUGACGACGACUUUAAUUUCUUUCGACAUGCUCACUGCUGGAAAAGGUGAUGUCUUCAGUGGUGGUGUUCACGGAAUAACAAAACCGCCACGCGGUGGCAGCCGGUGACGGCAGUGGUGGUGGUGGUUAUAUUGAUUCAGGUGACUCGGGUCAGUUUCACGUUCAGAUUCGAUUCUAAUUUAGUUCGGGUUUUGUUUGGAUGGAAUUCGGGUUUAAACUCAUCAGUUCAGGUGUGAUGUUUGGUUUUAGUUUCAGUUCGGGUCACGGGUCGAGACGCGGGUUCGAGUCAGCGGGUCAAACCCGGUCGACUCGGGUCAAACCGAGUAGACUCGGGUCAACAACAGGCGCAACGGAUCAGGGCGUGGUUAGUUUGGGCAGAUUUCUCCAAUUUGAGCUUCGCGACACGAACGGUUCGAAAUUAAAGUCACAUUUUUGGUUCGGGUCCCAGUCAACAUCAUGUCAACGUGAGGUCAAACGCAGUCGACUCGAAGACCCGGUAACAAAUUUAAUCAAAGCGAGUUAGUAUACGUUAGUUAGAUUUUAUUAGUUUACGCGAACCGAGCUCGACCCGACUAACUAACGGUUUUAUAUUUAGUGAGUUGGUUUCAUAUUUGACGUUUUGAUAUACUUGUCGUAAACUUUAUAUAUAAUGUUUGUUGAAUUGUUGAAUUUGGACAAAAUAUCGACAUUUAUGUUGUCGGGGUUAUUCCAAAAAAACAGAGGAAGCUCUGCCCGAUUUUCGUUAAAACCCGAAUUAUAAAACGUAUCUAAAUCUUAACGACACUUAUCGAAAUCCAAGCUUUCUUAUAAAAUAAAUAUAAAAGUAUAUUUAUUUUAGUGACGUUUUUUUAUAACUUAUAAACUGAAAUUAUAGCAUUUCGACAACACGCAAGUUACAACUUAACGAAACCUGACACUUAUUUAGAUAAGCAUAAUUAUCUAUAGUUAUUCAAACAUCGAUACUUCUUCAUACUUCUUCUGAGUACUUUCAUAAAAUAAAUAUAACGAUUUAUAUUUAUUUCAAACGUCGUUACGUAGUGUAUUUUUAUAAGAUAAAUAUAAUAUUUAUAUUUAUUCCAUUACGUUCUACGAAAGCUACGAAGAGUCGUACAAUUAUUCACCUACGUCUUCUAAUUCACUACGACUAGCACGACUACGUAAAAGAUAUUUAUAUCUAUAUAAAAAUAUAUAUAUCAUAAACCAUUCGGAAUACUAAGUCGUUUUCGAGACUUAGUUUUAUCCCGAUAUUACACGGGAUCAACGAACAAUAGUUUGGUUAUUUCAAACCAAAUAAUAACAUCUUCAGUAGAUCGUUUCAUUAACGACUCGGUAGAGCUCGGACGCCUAGUUUAGCUACGUUUAAUUGGUGGCUUACAAAUUAUUCCUUGAUUAGGAAUGCUUUAGUUACACGCUAGCGAGUCCACAUUCUUGGAAUGACAUCACGGAAUCACGCUAGGCUAGCAUUGCACAGGAAUGUCAAGGUUGCAUUUUUAAAACUAAGGAACGGUUGGAAUAGGAGAACCCACGAGAUUUCGAGGACCUAGCAGGCGUUCACUGUUUAGAAGUCUUAGCCUUUUGCUUUCGCUGUGCAAUGAAGAUACCGGUCCAGUCACGCCAGCUCUGAUAUUUCGGGGUGUGAUAGAUUGGUAUCAGAGCUAUAGGUUUCAGCGAAUUAGGUUUCCGUAGAGAUACCUAGGCUUUAACCUUACUCUCCUCUGGGAACUUAGAUAUCAAGAAUUGAACACGUACAGAACGCCUAAGACUCGAAUAUGGGUUCCAACCGUUGCCAAGAACAAUGAGUCAACUGUUUUGAUUUUAAAUAUAUACAAAUGUUGUGUCGAUACACAGUACACGAAACAAUUACACACACAAUAAGCAAAACUUGGAGGGUUUUGAUAACACGCAUAUAAGACCUUUGGAAAACUCUUGAUAAGAAACUUACGACGAAAUUCAUUAAACGUCCUCACGUAGGAACUGCGAUUAUUAACUCAGCAAACGCUAUUAUCUAUAUUGUCUAUGCUUUUUAGUUACCCGAGCAGGUAAUCUACGUGGAAUGAAACGCUAUUGCGCAACUAUACACGAAACUUAAACUAUACGUCAACGGACUUCGAAGUAUAUCACACACGACUUUCGAGGCAAGGCUUCUGGAAAACUCGAUUGGACACGACAACAACGAUACUAAUUCCCGUCAGUUGGAGAACUACUAAGCGAAAUGCAGUACCUUGCCACAUGAUCCUACAAAUGACACUAGUUACACUGAGGUACGUUAAAACGAGAUUUCAUAACAACCGAUUCUUAGUCUGAAGGGACUCACAAUUGUUGGCGCUGCAAAAGAAGUCACACGUCUUCACAUUCCCCCUAUUUCAUUUAUGGCGGAUAUGCUAUGUUCGACAUUCCAUGGUAAUGUCACCUAACAACUGACCAUCACACGAAGUUCCAGGUAAAGUCCUUAAACUUCUUUUAUUGAAAUUCCGACUUUUGCAUCUAGUGAGUAGAUUUUUUUUACAUCUCUACUCCUCUCAGUGGUCAUUGCAUCACGAUAUUUUCUUUCAUUAUAGCUAACACUUAUUUGGUUCAGUUCUUGAAAAAAAAAAAAAUCAUAUGUUGCACAUGCAUCGUUUGUUACGCAUGUGGAUUCGCUUCGGAUGAUCGUUUUCAUCAAAAAUUUCAAUUAUUAUUUAGCUAUAUCUAAAUUAUUGCUUCGUGAUCUGGAUGAUCCGCAUUCUUGUAAGUGAUGACUCCUUGCUAUCGAGUUAAUGAAUUUCUUGAAAACUUCUUUUCUUUUCGAAAUACGUACAUGGUUUUUUUUGUUGUAACCAUGUUUUGAAACUUUCUUACAUGAAUUCAUUGUUGGAUUGUGUUGCACCCAAGUUCAAUUGAUUGAACUUGCCGUAAUAUAUAUUCGAUUCAGUAUUCCAUAUGACGGAUUGAGGCCAUCAUAUUUGAAAUAAUCCCAACAAGCACUUCAUUUGCUUUAAACCAUAACAUGCUUGUUUGGUCUUCGACUUCAUUGAAUCGUUUCUUUGAUCACGAUCACCUUGUGGUGACAUUUUUCACAAGUUUGAAGCUUGCGCUAACCUCGUUGCUCACCUCAUGUACGGAUUUAAUUAUUUAUUUAUUUGUUUAUUGAUAUUAAAUCCGCUUUGUUGAUUUAUCAUAUUAAAGCAAUCUUAACACAAUCGUGUGUUAAGAUAGUGGUACACAAAUUUAUGUCAUAUUUCGGUGUACCUCUUAACGGUUCAUUCAUCAUCGAGCGAACAUUUUGUGAUAUUCAAUUGCUUUUCAUCUUCGCUCGAAAACAUCGUUUAUUUGUUUCAUUAUCAAUUGAAAAUUCUAUGAGAUUUGCUGGAACGAGCUUUCAAAUUUACUUCGUUGAGCCUUUAUUUGAUUUCAAACACGGUGACAUUUGUUUGGUCACCGCUAUUAUUGAAUUGUUUUAUUCACUACGACACCUUGUGGUGUCGGUAUAAACUUGUAGCUUGUGCUAAUCACGAUCAGCCGUUUCAUGCGUAACUAUUUACGCUUUUCGUUUGACACAUCAUUUAAAUAGUCUUAAUGCAAUUAUGUAUUAAGACGAUGGUACACCAGGUUCGGUUGUAUUUCAUUUCGGCGUAUCCUUGCAACACGUUGAUUUUAUUCAUUUAUUGGUUCAAUAGUUGACAAAUCAUUUCAUGAUUCUAUCCAUUUGAGAUUAUUGUUCUGAGUUUCAACUAUAUAACAACCAACGCAGGAUUCCGUUGGUAGUGAAUUCUAUUGUUUCAAAAUUGAUUUGCAUGUUGUGAACGUUCAUUUUCAAUUCUCUUGAUCGAAAUUCCCCUUUUGUUGAACUCCGUAAACUUAAUCACAUCGGUGAUAGUAUCACUAUGCUUCAUUCAUUUGACAUCUAUUUCUGGAACAAACUCAGUUCAACCAUCGGGUUUUUAUUGAUGCAAAAUGUCUUUACACUCACUAAUCCGAAUAAGUCUUGAUUCGAGUACGCGGUCAUUCACUAUGGUAUUUUUCGGACUUACCUGCGAAACGACACAACUUUGAGGAGAUAACAUAGACUAAAUUUCGAGGACGAAAUUUCUGCAACACGGGGAGAAUGUGACAACCGGUAAUUAACAGCUUCUAAUUACGUGGUUAAGAAACGAUUAAGACGAUAACUGAUAGUGUUUAAGGCACGAGUUAACCCAAUUAGGCUUUUGUAAAUGCCUAGGAACGCCUAAUCGACUUUAUAGUACGCGGAUGAUAAACUGCGGAGAAACAGCGUAACGAUAAUCGAUAACGAAUAGAAACCGUGCGAAAUAUUGACAACGCCGACAAAUACAAAUUUUAUAUGCGUAUUUUAUACUCAUAAGUUUAGUUUUGUGAAUUUAUUGUGCUUUCGUACGUCACAAAGCGCGAACGCGAACAAAAAACGCGACUGCAGGAACGCACCGGCAACGAAACAGAAGCAUCAAACAUGCGUAUUACUUCCAAAACUGAAAUUUUAUGAUAUAACUAGCUUCGUAAUUAAAUUUUAAUAUCCGUAGUAGAAACCAUAUCAAAAAACGGAUUAAAAUGGCAAUGGCGCGAUUUCAUGCGAUUUUUACAGUAAUCAGUGAACGAACACGACAAACGGCUACCGGUACUACUUUACGUAUUUUUUUUAAAACUAAAAUUUAUAAAUUACGAAGUUUCGCGGAGCUUGGGUUUUGAUAACGGUCUCGUAGGAAUUACGGGCCACUUAAACACGGGGAUUGGGCUUGUGGGCCUUGGGCCCAAGCCCAAAGCCCAUUAAACUAACCCUAGUAUAUAUUUGUAGCUACAACCUUAUCCUUCAUUUGAAACCACAAAACUAAAUCACGCACACAAUCUGCUCUCUUUCAUCUUCAAGUUGAAGAAACCCUAAUCCUCUAAUUCCCUUUCUCUUGAUUAUGCCUACAAUUGCACACAGACAAAUUAUGUCUGAUCUAUCAUCUACACCUAAAUAAAAACCUCAUCACCAUCAUCCUUACAAAACCUUCUUUUUCUUUGCCACUUUCUCUCGAAUUACAUACAGACAAACACACACAUACUCUACUAAAACUCCCUUCACCAUCUUUAAAAAAAAAGAUAUUAACUCCACUCUCACAUACCCUCUCUCUCUCGUGAUGCUCCUGGUCGACGAUGAUCGGAGCUUGUUAACCGCCGGCUGUCGGCGGUGUUACCAGCCGACAACACCCUCCCUCCCUCCUGUUGAUUUUCUCCGGCGAACACUCAGGUCACUCCGGUGACUAACCCACUUGUUCCGGCUCCCCACUCGAAGCAGAAACAACUGCCACCACCCUCGUUGGUGGCACACGGCGACGGUACACGAAGAGAUAGAGAGAAAGGGGCAAGCGGUGGAGGUUGACGACGACUUUAAUUUCUUUCGACAUGCUCACUGCUGGAAAAGGUGAUGUCUUCAGUGGUGGUGUUCACGGAAUAACAAAACCGCCACGCGGUGGCAGCCGGUGACGGCAGUGGUGGUGGUGGUUAUAUUGAUUCAGGUGACUCGGUUUCAGUUCGGGUCACGGGUCGAGACGCGGGUUCGAGUCAGCGGGUCAAACCCGGUCGACUCGGGUCAAACCGAGUAGACUCGGGUCAACAACAGGCGCAACGGAUCAGGGCGUGGUUAGUUUGGGCAGAUUUCUCCAAUUUGAGCUUCGCGACACGAACGGUUCGAAAUUAAAGUCACAUUUUUGGUUCGGGUCCCAGUCAACAUCAUGUCAACGUGAGGUCAAACGCAGUCGACUCGAAGACCCGGUAACAAAUUUAAUCAAAGCGAGAAUGCUUUAGUUACACGCUAGCGAGUCCACAUUCUUGGAAUGACAUCACGGAAUCACGCUAGGCUAGCAUUGCACAGGAAUGUCAAGGUUGCAUUUUUAAAACUAAGGAACGGUUGGAAUAGGAGAACCCACGAGAUUUCGAGGACCUAGCAGGCGUUCACUGUUUAGAAGUCUUAGCCUUUUGCUUCCGCUGUGCAAUGAAGAUACCGGUCCAGUCACGCCAGCUCUGAUAUUUCGGGGUGUGACAGCUAAUGCUUCCAGAUUCAACUCCGGUGAGUUCAAACUCAAAUUCGUUUCGAAUAAUAUUCAGAUCAGAAUCUCACGAGCGUUAUACGCUGAAAUCACCGAACGAUUUUUCUUCGAAUCACGUAACCGCUUCUAUCAAAUUGUAAAACAACAUCAAUAUCGAGCAUCGGCGAUACCAGCACCGUGUAGAAUAUUGUAAAACAACAUCAAUAUGGAAAUUAAACAGUUCUGAUUUGGGAUGAGCAAAUCAGUUCCGGUACCGAAUUACCGGACCAGGCACUUUUUUGGUACCGAUUCGGUAUCGACUUUUGACAUUUUCGGUACCGGUUCGGUACCAGUGUUUACCGGUUUUUACCCUCAAAUACCGGUACCGUACUGAUAUCGAACCGAUACCGAUACCGAACCGGGUAUAUUCGGUACCGGUACCCACUUUUGGGAAUUUUUGGUACCGGUUCUUUCGGUACCAGACGAUACCGAGCUCGUCCCUAGUUAUAUGUAUCUGAAUCCGGUAUUUUGCAACAGAAGGCAUUAAACGGAAUCUUGCCAUUUUCCCAUUCUUACCCUCGUAAAGUUUUAUUGCAUGGCAUAAUGUAAGGGGUAUUUUAGUCAAUUUAGUUGAGCAAGUUGUUGCGAUAUGCCCCAUAUGAUUUUGGCGGGAAACAUAUUUCAAGUACACGUAGGAUAAUAAUGUUUUAUCUUUUUUAUAUCAUUUUUGACAAUUAGAAUGAUAGAUUUUAUGAAAUAUAAAAUAAUCAAGUAA